Molecule: ribosomal RNA, 922 nt
Filed under: Starmerella powellii
Lineage: Eukaryota; Fungi; Ascomycota; Dipodascomycetes; Dipodascales; Trichomonascaceae
Description: LSU rRNA
Rfam family: Eukaryotic large subunit ribosomal RNA (bases 1-499)
Source: RNAcentral
AACUACAGGGUAUUGCCUUAGUAGCGGCGAGUGAAUAGGUAUAGAGCUCAGACCUGAAAGCCUUUCGGGGCAUUGUAUUCUGAAGCCUUGGUCUCGGGAAUCGGUGCUUAAGUCUUCUGGAAAGGAGCGCCAUGGAGGGUGAUAGCCCCGUGAAGCACUAACCCCAUUUUGGGACCUUGGCGUGGAGUCGAGUUGUUUGGGAAUGCAGCUCAAAUGGGUGGUAUGCUCCAUCUAAAGCUAAAUAUCUGCGAGAGACCGAUAGCGAACAAGUACUGUGAAGGAAAGAUGAAAAGAACUUUGAAAAGAGAGUGAAAUAGUACGUGAAAUUGUUGAAAUGGAAGGGUAGGCCGCUAACCACGUAGAGUCGUGUCUAGGGGGAGGAUAAAAGCUGCAACCUAUAUCAUUCUUCGGAGUGGUAUAGGCGCGGUGCAUACUCCCACCCGGGCGCGAGGACCUAAGACUCUACUAAAUGGUGGUCUACCACCCGUCUUGAAACCGGGACCAAAGGGCAUUGGAUUCUGAAGCCUUGGUCUCGGGAAUCGGUGCUUAAGUCUUCUGGAAAGGAGCGCCUUGGAGGGUGAUAGCCCCGUGAAGCACUCACCCCAUUUUGGGACCUUGGCGUGCCGUCCAGUUGUUUGGGAAUGCAAAUAAAAUGGGUCGUAUGCUCCAUCUAAAGCGAAAAACUCUGCGAGAGACCGAGCGCGCAAAAAGUUCUGUGGAUGAAAAGAUGCAAAAGACAUUUGCUAAUAGAGCUGUGAUAGUUCUUUCAAUGAUUGCAUAGCAAAGAUAGCCGUUUUCCAACGUAAUGUACUGUCUGGUGUGGGAUAAAACUGCACCAUUAUAGUUUGCUCGCAUGCGUAUGGAACCAGCAAUGCUACCAAACGGGACAAUGACUUCGUAACGUGAUACACCCUCUCGUAUA